GGAACGGUAGCUAAUACCGCAUAACGUCGCAAGACCAAAGAGGGGGACCUUCGGGCCUCUUGCCAUCAGAUGUGCCCAGAUGGGAUUAGCUAGUAGGUGGGGUAACGGCUCACCUAGGCGACGAUCCCUAGCUGGUCUGAGAGGAUGACCAGCCACACUGGAACUGAGACACGGUCCAGACUCCUACGGGAGGCAGCAGUGGGGAAUAUUGCACAAUGGGCGCAAGCCUGAUGCAGCCAUGCCGCGUGUAUGAAGAAGGCCUUCGGGUUGUAAAGUACUUUCAGCGGGGAGGAAGGCGAUAAGGUUAAUAACCUUGUCGAUUGACGUUACCCGCAGAAGAAGCACCGGCUAACUCCGUGCCAGCAGCCGGGGUUAAUACGA
RNAcentral lists this ribosomal RNA (381 nucleotides) under Klebsiella sp. AF-4C. Its description in RNAcentral is "bacterial SSU rRNA". It matches the Rfam family "Bacterial small subunit ribosomal RNA", at positions 153 to 528 of the family's 1533-position model. The record is from RNAcentral. Lineage: Bacteria; Pseudomonadati; Pseudomonadota; Gammaproteobacteria; Enterobacterales; Enterobacteriaceae.